Tympanuchus pallidicinctus (lesser prairie-chicken) is the source of this 2387-nucleotide long non-coding RNA. RefSeq lists it as uncharacterized. The record is from RefSeq and is a predicted model, not a curated record. Lineage: Eukaryota; Metazoa; Chordata; Aves; Galliformes; Phasianidae. The transcript has 2 exons.
GACACAAUGUAGCACAGUGCGCAGCUCUUCAGCUGCUUUUUUUGUAAAAUUCCCAAUUAUAGGAAAACCUGCAGCUACCAAGUUUCCAGUUUGGCUCUGCUCCUUGUUCUACUUAUCAAUGGAAGUUGCAAAUACACUGGUACAGCUUCAAGUGUUUCUACGGCAGGUAUCUUCAAGUUACUUUGUUUCCCCUUCGUGGAAGCAGAAAGUCUUUCACUCUUCACCGCUGUGUCAUUCUAGUUUAAUUUUGGUGUCUUGAAGGUAUCUUCAAGUUUUGUGCCUUCUAGCAGAGAACUGUCUGGAGGCUGUUAGAAGAAAAAAGCAUUGCAUAAUGCAGGGGCAGGCUUGCCUGUUGGCUGGCGGGUGGGCAGUGGGUAAAUGCUUGAGAUUUUUGUUACAGGAAAAGAAAUAACAGGACUCAAAACUCAGGGAUUUGAUAAUUCUUAGUGGCAAUUUUGUGUGCCUCCAGCUGCCUGCUCCCAUCUCAUGUAGCUGUGAUCAUCAUGCUGCUGCUUGCUGAAACAGAUCAGAGGACUGAUAAAAUAUUAAUGACAAAAGGCAGCCAGGUCCGUGGGCUCAGCUGGAGCCGAAUCACCUCCGACUGUGAUGUGCUGCCUGAGUGCCCCCAGGGCAGGGAUGCGUGGCAAGGCCAAACAGAGCACUUGCCUGAGGAGAGCAUGGUUUUAUGUUGCCUUAAAGAAAUGAAUCAAGUGUAAGCUUUCCAGUGCAGCUAUUUCUCUCGUUGAUUCACGGGCUUUGGGAGCACAGUGAUGAUUUUGCCAAUUCUGGCAUGCUGCGCUUCUGUUAUGGUGUGUAAACAGCCUGGGGUAUCCCUGUGCCUGUGAAGUGCUGGAGGGAACCAGUGCUGAUAUCAGGUGUGCCUGAGGAGGAGGUUUUGGUAUCUGACAUAACAGAAAGUUCGUGGAAUCUGCUUGAGCACAAUGCUGCAUCUGGGGCCAGGGCUGUCUCCGGGCUGGUGCCUGUGGCACAUCUUUAUACAAACAUCUCAGAUUUAGCCCCUUUGUGGACAGUGCUGUGAUUCCUUAGUUCUAACUUGGUCUGGUGGUGGCUCUUAGAGCAAAUAAUUUUUAGUUCAGGUUAUACCCAGAGCUGAAAUCCUAAAAUAGUGAUGAUUGAAGUUGCUAAAUUAGCUAGAAGGGAUCUAACAAGCUGCUUCCACAUGAUGUGGUAAUGUGAUACGCUUGGGAUUUAUGAAAGCAAAUGCAUUUCUUAAAUACUUGCAUGGUAUUUUUAGAUAUGUUAAUACUAAUGGAUCUGUAACAGAACUGUUCAGAUUAGAGAUCAUUGUGUUAGCUAAUUAAAGCCCAACACAUAAGAUCUCUUUAGGAUAUGGUCAAGUAAAAAAAGUAUCUUGGUGUAUUAGACGUUUCCUAGCACUGUGUGCUUUCCAGAAAAAGAUUAUGUGGCUUGAUAAAAGUAGCAUCUUCAGGAGAACCUCCUGCCUGCUCUGCUGCCUUCCAUUCCACACGAAUUAGCUGUCCCUGUUUGCCACAGCGCAGCUCUGCUCUAAGCCCAUGGGAGUUGAACAGUACAAGCUAAAUUGGGCUGCUUGAUUGCUGCACGUACCAGUCCUGAAAGCAAGGCUGAAUUUGAUCCUCAGCAACACUGGUGUGCUUACAGCAGCUCUGGGUGUCUAGACAAGGAAGAAUUGGGAACUUCCAAGUAUCCUUUUAACCUGCAAUGGUGCUUUGUUGACUUAAAGUAUUUUAAAAUGUAUUCCUUAGGAACCAAAUGUAGAUAUUUGGGCUUGUAAUCAUUAUUCCAUUGCUGAUAAAAGCAUGUUAGAAUAGUAGUGCAUCUUGUGCUUGGACAGUCCUGCUGUCUGAACAGGAAGCUGGUGUUCGUAACUACAAGCCAGCUGGGUGAGGUCACAAGUUCUUCUCUUAAGUGAGGAGGAGCCUUUUUUCCUUGACAUAGAUUGUUUUCUUGUGCACUUAAUUGCAUUGCAAAAUGACAGGAACAUCCUGGAGUGACUGCAGCAGAGUGAAUCAAGGAGCAGAGGGGUCUGCUGGGCAGAGUGUGCAGAAUAUCUGAGUCAGUUCCAAGUGAGAAGGGUCAAUGCAGGAGGAGAUUUUCCCUUCAGUCUUACGGGUUGUCCUGCACCAGAAAUCACUUGAUAAAGAUAUUUGUGUAAAGAUGCUCUUUGGCCAUGUUGUGUAUUUCUCAAGAUUCCAGUGAUACUUCCAGAGUGAAAAUUAUUGCAAGGAAAGCUGAUAACUUCUUCAGCUCAGCUUUAAAGAAAACAUUAAAGCUGUUGGAGCAUGCCACUUGUGGCUUGUACCUUCUUGGUAACAGGGUUAAGGAUACAGAAAAAACAUGUCAGUUUAGCUAGUGACAGGAGAAUUAAGUUAAGAGGUUGGCCCUCU